Molecule: long non-coding RNA, 430 nt
Filed under: Theobroma cacao (cacao)
Lineage: Eukaryota; Viridiplantae; Streptophyta; Magnoliopsida; Malvales; Malvaceae
Description: long non-coding RNA (TCAC_LNC004165)
Source: RNAcentral
CUUACUGUAGAUUGCUAUCUUGGAAGAACAAUUCUUUGAUUAGUCCCCAACAUUAUUUAUGGACUGUUGACAAUAAUUCAAAACAUUAAUGAAAGAGAUGCAAACCCAGGGAAUCCUACUAAUACAAAGACUUUUAGUUUAAGGGGACGCAACCUAUAUGUAACCAGAACAUUCAACUGGACUUCAACUUAUUAUUGGUGGCUCAUCACCCUCUGGGGGCUUAGGUACACCUGGAGGGAAAAUACUAGGGAGGUCUAUGAGGGUGAUGCCCGGGUUGGUCUCUCAGGACAAGGAGGGUGAGGUGGGUGAGGUGGAUGAGGAGGAUGAGGCGGGUGAGGAGGGAAUGGUCGUGGCGGUGGCCGUGGUGGUGGAGGCUCUGCAUAGCCACACAUCCCAUACAGGCAUCGGACUCUCCAAGGGCAUCUGUUAC